This 486-nucleotide ribosomal RNA is filed under the name uncultured bacterium. Its description in RNAcentral is "bacterial SSU rRNA". It matches the Rfam family "Bacterial small subunit ribosomal RNA", at positions 28 to 520 of the family's 1533-position model. The record is from RNAcentral.
GAUAAACGCUGGCGGCGCACAUAAGACAUGCAAGUCGAACGGACUUAACUCAUUCUUUACGAUUGAGAGCGGUUAGUGGCGGACUGGUGAGUAACACGUAAGCAACCUGCCUAUCAGAGGGGAAUAACAGUGAGAAAUCAUUGCUAAUACCGCAUAUGCUCACAGUACCACAUGGUACAGUGAGGAAAGGAGUAAUCCGCUGAUAGAUGGGCUUGCGCCUGAUUAGCUAGUUGGUGGGGUAACGGCCUACCAAGGCGACGAUCAGUAGCCGGACUGAGAGGUUGAACGGCCACAUUGGGACUGAGAUACGGCCCAGACUCCUACGGGAGGCAGCAGUCGGGAAUAUUGCGCAAUGGAGGAAACUCUGACGCAGUGACGCCGCGUAUAGGAAGAAGGUUUUCGGAUUGUAAACUAUUGUCAUUAGGGAAGAUAAAAGACUGUACCUAAAGAGGAAGCACCGGCUAACUAUGUGCCAGCAGCCGACGG